CGGGACGGGUAGAGUAUGACUGGAACUGCUGAGUGGAGGGGAUACACUGGAAACGGUAGCUAAUACCGCAUAACGUCGCAAGACCAAAGAGGGGGACCUUCGGGCCUCUUGCCAUCGGAUGUGCCCAGAUGGGAUUAGCUAGUAGGUGGGGUAACGGCUCACCUAGGCGACGAUCCCUAGCUGGUCUGAGAGGAUGACCAGCCACACUGGAACUGAGACACGGUCCAG
This 228-nucleotide ribosomal RNA is filed under the name uncultured bacterium. RNAcentral's name for it is "partial 16S ribosomal RNA". It matches the Rfam family "Bacterial small subunit ribosomal RNA", at positions 100 to 334 of the family's 1533-position model. The record is from RNAcentral.